RNAcentral lists this ribosomal RNA (402 nucleotides) under Glypturoides trilobata. RNAcentral's name for it is "partial 12S ribosomal RNA". Lineage: Eukaryota; Metazoa; Arthropoda; Malacostraca; Decapoda; Callichiridae. The record is from RNAcentral.
UUUUAGUCUCAAUUCCGAAUACUUAAGUAUUACAAGUUAUGUUCUUUAAAUUUAAAGGAUUUGGCGGUUAUUUAGUCUAGUUAGAGGAACCUGUUUAAUAAACGAUAAACCACGCAGAAUCUUACCUACUCCCACAGCUUGUAUACCGUCAUUAUUAGAUAACUCUCAAAGGAUUAGUUAUUUCAAUAACCUAAAAUUAAUAUAUUAGAUCAAGGUGCAGCCUAUGAGCAGGUUAAAAUGGGUUACAAUAAAACUUAUUUAUACGAAUGUAAAAUUUCAAUAUUUUCCUAAAGGAGGAUUUAAUAGUAAAUUUAGUUUAAUAAGCUAACUUGAUAAUAGAUCUAAAUAAAGUACAUAUCGCCCGUCGCUUUCAUUUCCCAAAUGAAAUAAGUCGUAACAUAG